Molecule: small nuclear RNA, 153 nt
Organism: Panicum virgatum (switchgrass)
Lineage: Eukaryota; Viridiplantae; Streptophyta; Magnoliopsida; Poales; Poaceae
Product: U1 spliceosomal RNA
Exons: 1
Source: RefSeq, a predicted model, not a curated record
AUACUUACCUGGACGGGGUCGAUGGGCGAUCAAGAAGGCCCAUGGCCUAGAUCAGUGGCCCACAUUGCACUUGGUGGGUGCGUCUACCAUCUCUCUAAAUGGGAGAGUGGACGUCAAAAUUUGGUCCUUUCUUUGUUCUUUAGGAUUAGGAAA